Non-coding RNA from Myotis lucifugus (little brown bat), 115 nucleotides. The record is from Rfam. Lineage: Eukaryota; Metazoa; Chordata; Mammalia; Chiroptera; Vespertilionidae.
UACUCUGGUUUCUUUUCAGAUCGUAUAAAUCUUUCGCCUUUUACUAAAGAUUUCCGUGGAGAGGAACAAUAAAAAAAAUUACAUUUAUAGAUACAGCCUAAUUUUAUUUACAGAU